AGCAGCCGCCGCGGUAAUACGGAGGGAGCUAGCGUUGUUCGGAAUUACUGGGCGUAAAGCGCGCGUAGGCGGUUACUCAAGUCAGAGGUGAAAGCCCGGGGCUCAACCCCGGAACUGCCUUUGAAACUAGGUGACUAGAAUCUUGGAGAGGUCAGUGGAAUUCCGAGUGUAGAGGUGAAAUUCGUAGAUAUUCGGAAGAACACCAGUGGCGAAGGCGACUGACUGGACAAGUAUUGACGCUGAGGUGCGAAAGCGUGGGGAGCAAACAGGAUUAGAUACCCCCGUAGUCCCUGUCUCUUAUAA
RNAcentral lists this ribosomal RNA (303 nucleotides) under uncultured bacterium. RNAcentral's name for it is "partial 16S ribosomal RNA". It matches the Rfam family "Bacterial small subunit ribosomal RNA", at positions 507 to 809 of the family's 1533-position model. The record is from RNAcentral.